Molecule: ribosomal RNA, 828 nt
Filed under: uncultured Bacillota bacterium
Lineage: Bacteria; Bacillati; Bacillota
Description: bacterial SSU rRNA
Rfam family: Bacterial small subunit ribosomal RNA
Source: RNAcentral
CAAGUCGAGCGAGGAGGCCCGCAAGGGUCAUUCGAGCGGCGAACGGGUGAGUAACGCGUGGAUAACCUGCCCAGAGGUGGGGGAUAACCCGGGGAAACUCGGGCUAAUACCGCAUAUGACCGUGAGGUCAAAGGGGGCUCGCAAGGGCUCUCGCCAUUGGAGGGGUCCGCGUCCGAUUAGCUAGUUGGUAGGGUAAUGGCCUACCAAGGCGACGAUCGGUAGCCGGCCUGAGAGGGUGAUCGGCCACACUGGAACUGAGACACGGUCCAGACUCCUACGGGAGGCAGCAGUGGGGAAUUUUGCGCAAUGGGCUAACGCCUGACGCAGCAACGCCGCGUGGAGGAUGAAGGUCUUUGGAUUGUAAACUCCUGUCAGCAGGGAAAAAGCGAAUCGGCCUAACACGCCGGUGAGUUGAUUGUACCUGCAGAGGAAGCCCCGGCUAACUCUGUGCCAGCAGCCGCGGUAAUACAGAGGGGGCAAGCGUUAUUCGGAAUUAUUGGGCGUAAAGGGCGCGUAGGCGGCUUGGCAAGUGGAUGGUGAAAUCCCUCGGCUUAACCGAGGAACUGCCGUCCAAACUGCUUUGCUUGAGGCCGGGAGAGGCGAGUGGAAUUCCCAGUGUAGCGGUGAAAUGCGUAGAUAUUGGGAGGAACACCAGUGGCGAAGGCGGCUCGCUGGACCGGUUCUGACGCUGAUGCGCGAAAGCGUGGGGAGCAAACGGGAUUAGAUACCCCGGUAGUCCACGCUGUAAACGAUGAGUGCUUGGUGUAGCGGGUAUCGACCCCUGCUGUGCCGAAAGUCAACACAUUAAGCACUCCGCCUGGGGAGUAC